GCCAGCCAUGGUGGCACGCACCUGUAGUCCCAGCUGCUCAGGAGGCUGAGGUGGGAGGAUGGCUUGAGCCCAGGAGUCGGAGGUUGCAGUGAGCCGAGAUGGCACCACUGCACUCCAGACUGGGUGACAGAGCAAGACUCUGCCUCAAAAAAAAAAAAAAAAANNNNNNNNNNUUUUUUUUUUUUUUUUUUUUUUGAGGCAGAGUCUUGCUCUGUCACCCAGUCUGGAGUGCAGUGGUGCCAUCUCGGCUCACUGCAACCUCCGACUCCUGGGCUCAAGCCAUCCUCCCACCUCAG
Non-coding RNA from Gorilla gorilla gorilla (western lowland gorilla), 296 nucleotides. It matches the Rfam family "Metazoan signal recognition particle RNA". From Rfam's summary of the family: The signal recognition particle (SRP) is a universally conserved ribonucleoprotein. It is involved in the co-translational targeting of proteins to membranes. The record is from Rfam. Lineage: Eukaryota; Metazoa; Chordata; Mammalia; Primates; Hominidae.